GAUGAACGCUAGCAGAACGCCUAACACAUGCAAGUCGAACGAGAAACCACCUUCGGGUGGCGGAAAGUGGCAAACGGGCGAGUAACGCGUACUUAACCUGCCCUAGAGUAGUGAAUAACCAUGGAGACAUGGCUAAUACACUAUACGCUCAUAGGAAUGAAAAUACUAUGAGGAAAGAUUUAUCGCUCUUGGAGGGGGGUGCGUAGCAUCAGAUAGUUGGUGAGGUAACGGCUCACCAAGUCAAUGACGCUUAGUCGGUCUGAGAGGAUGUCCGGCCGCAAUGGAACUGAGACACGGUCCAUACCCCUACGGGGGGCAGCAGUGGGGAAUCUUGCACAAUGGGCGCAAGCCUGAUGCAGCGAUUCUGCGUGGAGGAUGACACCUUACGGGGCGUAAACUCCUUUUCUGGUGGAAGACGAAUGACGGUACACCAGGAAUAAGGGACGGCUAACUAUGUGCCAGCAGCCGCGGUAAUACAUAGGUCCCAAGCGUUAUCCGGAGUUACUGGGCGUAAAGCGUCUGUAGCCGGCAUUGUAAGUCCAUUUUCAAAUACUAUGGCUCAACCAUAGGAAGGGAGUGGAUACUGCAUAGCUAGAGGACACAAGGGGGUGGUGGAAUUUCCGGUGGAGCGGUGAAAUGUGUUGAUCUCGGAAGGAACGCCGAAAGCGAAAGCAGCCACCUAUUGUGUAUCUGACGGUCAGAGACGAAAGUAUGGGUAGCGAAUGGGAUUAGAUACCCCAGUAGUCCAUACCGUAAAUGAUGUCCGCUAGAUGUUUGUCCUUCGGGAUGAGUGUCGUAAGCUAACGCGUUAAGCGGACCGCCUGGGUAGUAUAUUCGCAAGAAUGAAACUCAAAGGGAUAGGCGGGGGAACACACAAGCAGUGGAUGAUCUAGAUUAAUUGGAUAAUAAGCCAGGAACCUCACCUAGACUUGACAUGCUCUUUGUCGUGUACGAAAAUACACUACCUCGAUUUAUCGGGGAGGGAGCACAGGUGGUGCAUGGUCGUCGUCAGCUCGUGCCGCAAGGUGUCCAGUUAAGUCUGGUAACAAGCGCAACCCUCAUCGUUAGUUAGAAUGUCUAGCGAGACUGCUCGGGUAACCGAGAGGAAGGAGAGGAUGACGUCAGAUCCUCAUGCCCCUUACGUCUAGGGCUUCAUAGAUCAUACAAUGGUUAGGACAACGAGUAGCGAUACCGCGAGGUGGAGCCAAUCUCUUAAACCUAGCCCAAGUUCGGAUUGUAGUCUGCAACUCGACUACAUGAAGUCGGAAUUGCUAGUAAUGGCAAAUCAGCCAUGUUGCCGUGAAUAUGUCCCUGUUCCUUGCACUCACCGCCCGUCAAACUAUGGGAGUUG
Molecule: ribosomal RNA, 1351 nt
Filed under: uncultured organism
Description: bacterial SSU rRNA
Rfam family: Bacterial small subunit ribosomal RNA
Source: RNAcentral